GAUGAACGCUGGCGGCGUGCCUAAUACAUGCAAGUCGAGCGAACGGACGAGAAGCUUGCUUCUCUGAUGUUAGCGGCGGACGGGUGAGUAACACGUGGAUAACCUACCUAUAAGACUGGGAUAACUUCGGGAAACCGUAGCUAAUACCGUAUAAUAUUUUGAACCGCAUGGUUCAAAAGUGAAAGACGGUCUUGCUGUCACUUAUAGAUGGAUCCGCGCUGCAUUAGCUAGUUGGUAAGGUAACGGCUUACCAAGGCAACGAUGCAUAGCCGACCUGAGAGGGUGAUCGGCCACACUGGAACUGAGACACGGUCCAGACUCCUACGGGAGGCAGCAGUAGGGAAUCUUACGCAAUGGGCGAAAGCCUGACGGAGCAACGCCGCGUGAGUGAUGAAGGUCUUCGGAUCGUAAAACUCUGUUAUUAGGGAAGAACAUAUGUGUAAGUAACUGUGCACAUCUUGACGGUACCUAAUCAGAAAGCCACGGCUAACUACGUG
This 497-nucleotide ribosomal RNA is filed under the name uncultured bacterium. RNAcentral's name for it is "partial 16S ribosomal RNA". It matches the Rfam family "Bacterial small subunit ribosomal RNA", at positions 28 to 507 of the family's 1533-position model. The record is from RNAcentral.